CUGCGGAAGGAUCAUUACCGAGUGAGGGCCCUCUGGGUCCAACCUCCCACCCGUGUUUAUCGUACCUUGUUGCUUCGGCGGGCCCGCCUCACGGCCGCCGGGGGGCAUCCGCCCCCGGGCCCGCGCCCGCCGAAGACACACAAACGAACUCUUGUCUGAAGAUUGCAGUCUGAGUACUUGACUAAAUCAGUUAAAACUUUCAACAACGGAUCUCUUGGUUCCGGCAUCGAUGAAGAACGCAGCGAAAUGCGAUAAGUAAUGUGAAUUGCAGAAUUCAGUGAAUCAUCGAGUCUUUGAACGCACAUUGCGCCCCCUGGUAUUCCGGGGGGCAUGCCUGUCCGAGCGUCAUUGCUGCCCUCAAGCACGGCUUGUGUGUUGGGCUCUCGCCCCCCGCUUCCGGGGGGCGGGCCCGAAAGGCAGCGGCGGCACCGCGUCCGGUCCUCGAGCGUAUGGGGCUUCGUCACCCGCUCUGUAGGCCCGGCCGGCGCCCGCCGGCGAACACCAUCAAUCUUAACCAGGUUGACCUCGGAUCAGGUAGGGAUACCCGCUGAACUUAAGCAUAUCAAUA
RNAcentral lists this ribosomal RNA (568 nucleotides) under Penicillium oxalicum. RNAcentral's name for it is "eukaryotic LSU rRNA". The stretch from base 195 to 348 matches the Rfam family "5.8S ribosomal RNA". Lineage: Eukaryota; Fungi; Ascomycota; Eurotiomycetes; Eurotiales; Aspergillaceae. The record is from RNAcentral.